UCGGGAAUUUUGGGCAAUGGACGAAAGUCUGACGCAGCAACGCCGCGUGAGGGAUGACGGCCUUCGGGUUGUAAACCUCUUUUGUCAGGGAAGAUGAUGACGGUACCUGACGAAUAAGUCACGGCUAACUACGUGCCAGCAGCCGCGGUAAUACGUAGGUGACAAGCGUUGUCCGGAUUUACUGGGCGUAAAGAGCGCGCAGGCGGUCGAUCAAGUCGAGUGUGAAAGCCCCCGGCUCAACUGGGGAGGGUCAUUCGAAACUGAUCGACUCGAAGGCAGGAGAGGGAAGUGGAAUUCCCGGUGUAGUGGUGAAAUGCGUAGAUAUCGGGAGGAACACCAGUGGCGAAGGCGACUUCCUGGCCUGUUCUUGACGCUGAGGCGCGAAAGCUAGGGGAGCAAACGGGAUUAGAUACCCCAGUAGUCCCUGAGCGGGCUGGCAAGGCGCAU
This 447-nucleotide ribosomal RNA is filed under the name uncultured bacterium. RNAcentral's name for it is "bacterial SSU rRNA". It matches the Rfam family "Bacterial small subunit ribosomal RNA", at positions 355 to 825 of the family's 1533-position model. The record is from RNAcentral.